AAGUCGUAACAAGGUUUCCGUAGGUGAACCUGCGGAAGGAUCAUUAACACGUUAUCCACGUAUUACCAACCGAGAACCGUUACAACAUUUACCCUCUGCCAGGAAUGGACAGCAACUGAUUUAGAGUGAUGGGAAGGGUCUGCUUCACGGCGCCGUGCUCUAGCUGUUACUUGUACGUGGUCGCGAGACUGCUGCAUACUGUUGAAUCUGAAGCGGAGGCAUCUCUGGGCGAACAAAUCUCCUUCCCUGAAGUGGGCGCCUGGAAACUUAUUCACAAUUUUAACCCCUUUUUGCUAGUUGACUUUUAUAUGUUGUACCUUCGCUCUCGGGCACUGUGCACACGUUUAAUUAUUUGAACGUUAAAAAUACAACUCUUAGCAAUGGAUAUCUAGGUUCUC
RNAcentral lists this unclassified non-coding RNA (398 nucleotides) under fungal sp. Its description in RNAcentral is "partial internal transcribed spacer region". The stretch from base 1 to 46 matches the Rfam family "Eukaryotic small subunit ribosomal RNA", at positions 1786 to 1831 of the family's 1831-position model. Lineage: Eukaryota; Fungi. The record is from RNAcentral.